This 253-nucleotide ribosomal RNA is filed under the name uncultured bacterium. RNAcentral describes it as "partial 16S ribosomal RNA". It matches the Rfam family "Bacterial small subunit ribosomal RNA", at positions 524 to 776 of the family's 1533-position model. The record is from RNAcentral.
UACGAAGGGGGCUAGCGUUGCUCGGAUUGACUGGGCGUAAAGCGCACGUAGGCGGUUUUGUAAGUCAGGGGUGAAAUCCCGGGGCUCAACCUCGGAACUGCCUUUGAUACUGCAAAUCUCGAGUCCGGAAGAGGUGAGUGGAAUUCCUAGUGUAGAGGUGAAAUUCGUAGAUAUUAGGAAGAACACCAGUGGCGAAGGCGGCUCACUGGACCGGUACUGACGCUGAGGUGCGAAAGCGUGGGGAGCAAACAGG